ACCCUCUAGAUGCUUCCCCUUCAGAUCUCAAUAUUGUUCCGAGUGGUUAGGAAAGGAGGAAAGGUAAAACUGAAGUCGACUUGCGGUCUUUAGUGACAUACAAGUUCAUUUCAAACAUUA
Molecule: small nucleolar RNA, 120 nt
Filed under: Echinops telfairi (small Madagascar hedgehog)
Lineage: Eukaryota; Metazoa; Chordata; Mammalia; Afrosoricida; Tenrecidae
Description: Small nucleolar RNA SNORA61 (ENSETEG00000024664.1)
Source: RNAcentral